ACCCGCUGAACUUAAGCAUAUCAAUAAGCGGAGGAAAAGAAACCAACAGGGAUUGCCCUAGUAACGGCGAGUGAAGCGGCAACAGCUCAAAUUUGAAAUCUGGCUCUUUUAGAGUCCGAGUUGUAAUUUGCAGAGGGCGCUUUGGCUUUGGCAGCGGUCCAAGUUCCUUGGAACAGGACGUCACAGAGGGUGAGAAUCCCGUACGUGGUCGCUGGCUAUUGCCGUGUAAAGCCCCUUCGACGAGUCGAGUUGUUUGGGAAUGCAGCUCUAAAUGGGAGGUACAUUUCUUCUAAAGCUAAAUAUUGGCCAGAGACCGAUAGCGCGCAAGUAGAGUGAUCGAAAGAUGAAAAGCACUUUGGAAAGAGAGUCAAACAGCACGUGAAAUUGUUGAAAGGGAAGCGCUUGCAGCCAGACUUGCUUACAGUUGCUCAUCCGGGCUUUUGCCCGGUGCACUCUUCUGUAGGCAGGCCAGCAUCAGUUUGGGCGGUAGGAUAAAGGUCUCUGUCACGUACCUCUCUUCGGGGAGGCCUUAUAGGGGAGACGACAUACUACCAGCCUGGACUGAGGUCCGCGCAUCUGCUAGGAUGCUGGCGUAAUGGCUGU
RNAcentral lists this ribosomal RNA (603 nucleotides) under uncultured fungus. RNAcentral describes it as "eukaryotic LSU rRNA". It matches the Rfam family "Eukaryotic large subunit ribosomal RNA", at positions 23 to 641 of the family's 3401-position model. The record is from RNAcentral. Lineage: Eukaryota; Fungi.